RNAcentral lists this ribosomal RNA (253 nucleotides) under uncultured bacterium. RNAcentral describes it as "partial 16S ribosomal RNA". It matches the Rfam family "Bacterial small subunit ribosomal RNA", at positions 524 to 776 of the family's 1533-position model. The record is from RNAcentral.
UACAGAGGGUGCAAGCGUUGUUCGGAAUUAUUGGGCGUAAAGGGUGCGUAGGCGGUCGGGUAAGUCUGAUGUGAAAUCUCCAAGCCUAACUUGGAAACUGCAUUGGAUACUAUCCGGCUCGAGGAAUGGAGGGGAGACUGGAAUACUUGGUGUAGCAGUGAAAUGCGUAGAUAUCAAGUGGAACACCAGUGGCGAAGGCGAAUCUCUGGACAUUUCCUGACGCUGAGGCACGAAAGCCAGGGGAGCAAACGGG